This 468-nucleotide ribosomal RNA is filed under the name uncultured bacterium. RNAcentral's name for it is "partial 16S ribosomal RNA". It matches the Rfam family "Bacterial small subunit ribosomal RNA", at positions 28 to 507 of the family's 1533-position model. The record is from RNAcentral.
GAUGAACGCUGGCGGCGUGCUUAACACAUGCAAGUCGAACGGAAAGGCCGAAGCUUGCUUCGGUACUCGAGUGGCGAACGGGUGAGUAACACGUGGGUGAUCUGCCCUGUACUUCGGGAUAAGCUUGGGAAACUGGGUCUAAUACCGGAUAUGACGAUCUCUUGGAUGGGGUUGUGGAAAGCUUUUGCGGUAUGGGAUGAGCUCGCGGCCUAUCAGCUUGUUGGUGGGGUAAUGGCCUACCAAGGCGUCGACGGGUAGCCGGCCUGAGAGGGUGUACGGCCACAUUGGGCCUGAGAUACGGCCCAGACUCCCACGGGGGGCAGCAGUGGGGAAUAUUGCACAAUGGGCGCAAGCCUGAUGCAGCGACGCCGCGUGGGGGAUGACGGCCUUCGGGUUGUAAACUCCUUUCGCAAUCGACGAAGCCUUUUGGUGACGGUAGGUUGAGAAGAAGCACCGGCUAACUACGUG